Molecule: ribosomal RNA, 467 nt
Filed under: uncultured bacterium
Lineage: Bacteria
Description: partial 16S ribosomal RNA
Rfam family: Bacterial small subunit ribosomal RNA
Source: RNAcentral
GACGAACGCUGGCGGCGUGCUUAACACAUGCAAGUCGAACGGAAAGGCCCUGCUUUUGUGGGGUGCUCGAGUGGCGAACGGGUGAGUAACACGUGAGUAACCUGCCCUUGACUUUGGGAUAACUUCAGGAAACUGGGGCUAAUACCGGAUAGGAGCUCCUGCUGCAUGGUGGGGGUUGGAAAGUUUCGGCGGUUGGGGAUGGACUCGCGGCUUAUCAGCUUGUUGGUGGGGUAGUGGCUUACCAAGGCUUUGACGGGUAGCCGGCCUGAGAGGGUGACCGGCCACAUUGGGACUGAGAUACGGCCCAGACUCCUACGGGAGGCAGCAGUGGGGAAUAUUGCAAAAUGGGCGGGAGCCUGAUGCAGCAACGCCGGGUGCGGGAUGACGGCCUUCGGGUUGUAAACCGCUUUCGCCUGUGACGAAGCGUGAGUGACGGUAAUGGGGAAAGAAGCACCGGCUAACUACGU